Triticum aestivum (bread wheat) is the source of this 115-nucleotide non-coding RNA. Lineage: Eukaryota; Viridiplantae; Streptophyta; Magnoliopsida; Poales; Poaceae. The record is from Rfam.
GACGUACUCCCUUCGUCCGGAAAUACUUGUCCUAAAAAUGGAUGUAUUUAUAAAUAAAAUAAGUCUAAAUACAACUAUUCCUAGGAUAAGUAUUUCGGGACUGAGGGAGUACGAC